This 87-nucleotide transfer RNA is filed under the name Gammaproteobacteria bacterium. Its description in RNAcentral is "tRNA-Leu". It matches the Rfam family "tRNA". Rfam says of the family: Transfer RNA (tRNA) molecules are approximately 80 nucleotides in length. Their secondary structure includes four short double-helical elements and three loops (D, anti-codon, and T loops). The record is from RNAcentral. RNAcentral also lists the same sequence under 1 other name. Lineage: Bacteria; Pseudomonadati; Pseudomonadota; Gammaproteobacteria.
GCCGGGAUGGCGGAAUUGGUAGACGCAGGGGACUCAAAAUCCCCCGGUGGCGACACCGUGAGAGUUCGAGUCUCUCUCCCGGCACCA